Molecule: long non-coding RNA, 259 nt
Filed under: Mytilus galloprovincialis (Mediterranean mussel)
Lineage: Eukaryota; Metazoa; Mollusca; Bivalvia; Mytilida; Mytilidae
Source: RNAcentral
GUUUGUCGACUGAAGACGAGCACUGUACAGCCAAGGCAAUUACCUGCUGUUUGGCUACUGUAGGCGCCACCAAUUAUUGUAUCAAUGCUUGGUUACAAAAUCAGCUGAUCAAAAAAAUCGUCUUUUUAUACUUAUGAAAGACAGUGACAAGUCUAGAUUGACUAAAGAAUUGAAAAAGAAAAAAAACUGUGACAAGUACUCAGUAUGACUAUACCAUGCCAUUACCCCCAAAGACAAAAAGACGUAGGGUUGCCCGAAC